AGUGGCGAACGGGUGAGUAAUGCAUGGGCAAUCUACCCUUGAGUUUGGGAUAGCCUCCCGAAAGGGGGAUUAAUACCGGAUGUGGUCUUCUCACGCAUGUGAGAAUGUCUAAAGGUGGGGAUCCGCAAGGACCUACCGCUCGGGGAUGGGCCCAUGUCCUAUCAGCUUGUUGGUGAGGUAACGGCUCACCAAGGCGUACGGGUAGCUGGUCUGAGAGGAUGGCCAGUCACACUGGGACUGAGACACUGCCCAGACUCCUACGGGAGGCUGCAGUCGAGGAUCUUGGACAAUGCGCGAAAGCGUGAUCCAGCGACGCCGCGUGCAGGAUGAAGGCCUUCGGGUCGUAAACUGCUGUCGUGAGGGAACAACGGGCUCCGGGACAAUACCCCGGGGUUGUGAUAGUACCUCAGGAGGAAGACACGGCUAACUCUGUGCCAGCAGCCGCGGUAAUACAGAGGUGUCGAGCGUUGUUCGGAUUUACUGGGCGUAAAGGGUGCGUAGGCGGCUUCGUGUGUCGGGUGUGAAAUCUCACCGCUCAACGGUGAAACUGCAUUCGAAACUAUGGGGCUAGAGUACAGGAGAGGAAGGUGGAAUUCUCGGAGUAGCGGUGAAAUGCGUAGAUAUCGAGAGGAACACCGGUGGCGAAGGCGACCUUCUGGACUGAUACUGACGCUGAGGCACGAAGGCCGGGGUAGCAAACAGGAUUAGAUACCCUGGUAGUCCCGGCAGUAAACGUUGUGCACUUGGUGUGGGAGGAAUUAUCCCCUUCCGUGCCGGAGUUAACGUGUUAAGUGCACCGCCUGGGGAGUACGAUCGCAAGAUUAAAACUCAAAGGAAUUGACGGGGGCCCGCACAAGCGGUGGAGCAUGUGGCUUAAUUCGAUGCAACGCGAAGAACCUUACCAGGGCUUGACAUGCAGCUGCACGUCCCGUGAAAGCGGGAUUCCUUCGAGGGUGCUGCACAGGUGCUGCAUGGCUGUCGUCAGCUCGUGCCGUGAGGUGUUGGGUUAAGUCCCGCAACGAGCGCAACCCUUGUGAUUAGUUGCCACUCCGUAAGGAAGCACUCUAGUCAGACUGCCUGUGACAAGCAGGAGGAAGGUGGGGAUGACGUCAAGUCAGUAUGGCCUUUAUGUCCUGGGCUGCACACGUGCUACAAUGAACGGUAUAGAAGGACGCGAGACCGCGAGGUGGAGCAAAUCCUCAAAACCGUUCUCAGUUCGGAUUGAAGUCUGCAAUUCGACUUCAUGAAGCUGGAAUCGCUAGUAAAGGCGUAUCAGCAAUGACGCCUUGAAUACGUUCCCGGGCCUUGUACACACCGCCCGUCACAUCAUGAAAGCCGACUGCACCCGAAGUCG
This 1354-nucleotide ribosomal RNA is filed under the name uncultured organism. RNAcentral's name for it is "16S ribosomal RNA". It matches the Rfam family "Bacterial small subunit ribosomal RNA", at positions 94 to 1429 of the family's 1533-position model. The record is from RNAcentral.